AAAGAAACCAACAGGGAUUGCCCCAGUAACGGCGAGUGAAGCGGCAAGAGCUCAAAUUUGAAAGCUGACUCCUUCGGGGUCCGCAUUGUAAUUUGCAGAGGAUGCUUCGGGAGCGGUCCCCAUCUAAGUGCCCUGGAACGGGACGUCAUAGAGGGUGAGAAUCCCGUAUGGGAUGGGGUGUCCGCGCCCGUGUGAAGCUCCUUCGACGAGUCGAGUUGUUUGGGAAUGCAGCUCUAAAUGGGUGGUAAAUUUCAUCUAAAGCUAAAUAUUGGCCGGAGACCGAUAGCGCACAAGUAGAGUGAUCGAAAGAUGAAAAGCACUUUGAAAAGAGAGUUAAAAAGCACGUGAAAUUGUUGAAAGGGAAGCGCUUGCGACCAGACUCGCUCGCGGGGUUCAGCCGGCAUUCGUGCCGGUGUACUUCCCCGCGAGCGGGCCAGCGUCGGUUUGGGCGGUCGGUCAAAGGCCCUCGGAAGGUAACGCCCCUAGGGGCGUCUUAUAGCCGAGGGUGCAAUGCGACCUGCCUAGACCGAGGAACGCGCUUCGGCUCGGACGCUGGCAUAAUGGUCGUAAGCGAC
This 575-nucleotide ribosomal RNA is filed under the name Penicillium atramentosum. Its description in RNAcentral is "eukaryotic LSU rRNA". It matches the Rfam family "Eukaryotic large subunit ribosomal RNA", at positions 58 to 648 of the family's 3401-position model. The record is from RNAcentral. Lineage: Eukaryota; Fungi; Ascomycota; Eurotiomycetes; Eurotiales; Aspergillaceae.